GGCCCGCAACCCAGGUGGAGCCGUCAUCCUUUUUUUCGGAUAUACUGCCUGGAUUCACGACUGAACCGGGACGGAAGG
Molecule: regulatory RNA element, 78 nt
Organism: Geobacter sulfurreducens PCA
Lineage: Bacteria; Pseudomonadati; Thermodesulfobacteriota; Desulfuromonadia; Geobacterales; Geobacteraceae
Rfam family: pan motif
Source: Rfam